Molecule: ribosomal RNA, 484 nt
Filed under: uncultured bacterium
Lineage: Bacteria
Description: partial 16S ribosomal RNA
Rfam family: Bacterial small subunit ribosomal RNA
Source: RNAcentral
AUUGAACGCUGGCGGCAGGCCUAACACAUGCAAGUCGAGCGGAUGAAGGGAGCUUGCUCCUGGAUUCAGCGGCGGACGGGUGAGUAAUGCCUAGGAAUCUGCCUGGUAGUGGGGGAUAACGUCCGGAAACGGGCGCUAAUACCGCAUACGUCCUGAGGGAGAAAGUGGGGGAUCUUCGGACCUCACGCUAUCAGAUGAGCCUAGGUCGGAUUAGCUAGUUGGUGGGGUAAAGGCCUACCAAGGCGACGAUCCGUAACUGGUCUGAGAGGAUGAUCAGUCACACUGGAACUGAGACACGGUCCAGACUCCUACGGGAGGCAGCAGUGGGGAAUAUUGGACGAUGGGCGAAAGCCUGAUCCAGCCAUGCCGCGUGUGUGAAGAAGGUCUUCGGAUUGUAAAGCACUUUAAGUUGGGAGGAAGGGCAGUAAGCUAAUACCUUGCUGUUUUGACGUUACCAACAGAAUAAGCACCGGCUAACUUCGUG